UACGGAGGAUCCGAGCGUUAUCCGGAUUUAUUGGGUUUAAAGGGUGCGUAGGCGGCUUUUUAAGUCAGCGGUGAAAUUUUGCAGCUUAACUGUAACAGUGCCGUUGAUACUGGGGAGCUAGGAUUUGGUUGCUGUGGGUGGAAUGUGUGGUGUAGCGGUGAAAUGCUUAGAGAUCACACAGAAUAUCGAUUGCGAAGGCAGCUUACUGGGAUGCAACUGACGCUGAGGCACGAAAGCGUGGGUAUCAAACAGGAUUAGA
Molecule: ribosomal RNA, 259 nt
Filed under: uncultured prokaryote
Description: partial 16S ribosomal RNA
Rfam family: Bacterial small subunit ribosomal RNA
Source: RNAcentral